CACGUAGGCGGAUUGGAAAGUUGGGGGUGAAAUCCCAGGGCUCAACCCUGGAACUGCCUCCAAAACUACCAGUCUAGAGUUCGAGAGAGGUGAGUGGAAUUCCGAGUGUAGAGGUGAAAUUCGUAGAUAUUCGGAGGAACACCAGUGGCGAAGGCGGCUCACUGGCUCGAUACUGACGCUGAGGUGCGAAAGUGUGGGGAGCAAACA
This 207-nucleotide ribosomal RNA is filed under the name uncultured bacterium. RNAcentral describes it as "partial 16S ribosomal RNA". It matches the Rfam family "Bacterial small subunit ribosomal RNA", at positions 568 to 774 of the family's 1533-position model. The record is from RNAcentral.